Molecule: microRNA, 21 nt
Filed under: Medicago truncatula (barrel medic)
Lineage: Eukaryota; Viridiplantae; Streptophyta; Magnoliopsida; Fabales; Fabaceae
Description: mtr-miR7700-5p
Source: miRBase by way of RNAcentral
GUGGAGUGUGGGACAGCUUGC